CAGUAGCCGCGGUAAUGCGAAGGGUGCAAGCGUUACUCGGAAUUACUGGGCGUAAAGCGUGCGUAGGUGGUGGUUUAAGUCCGUUGUGAAAUCCCCGGGCUCAACCUGGGAAUGGCAAUGGAUACUGGCAAGCUAGAGUGUGUCAGAGGAUGGUGGAAUUCCCGGUGUAGCGGUGAAAUGCGUAGAGAUCGGGAGGAACAUCAGUGGCGAAGGCGGCCAUCUGGGACAACACUGACGCUGAGGCACGAAAGCGUGGGGAGCAAACAGGAUUAGAUACCCCUGUAGUCCCUGUCUCUUAUAC
RNAcentral lists this ribosomal RNA (301 nucleotides) under uncultured bacterium. RNAcentral describes it as "partial 16S ribosomal RNA". It matches the Rfam family "Bacterial small subunit ribosomal RNA", at positions 509 to 807 of the family's 1533-position model. The record is from RNAcentral.